GGGAGCAUACCAGUUUCUUUUGAAAAUUCCUUUUGGAAUUCCAGGUGCAACUGUGGAGUUGCUUGGCUUCAUUUUUUUUUCUGCAAGUUCAGUUCCUGUCCCCUCGUUUGCAGCUCCCAACGCCUCAGUCUUCACCUUCUGAUAGAAGUAUUUUCUUUUUCCUUUUCACUCUUCCCUUCCUGAUAGUUGGCUACCGGGCUGCGUGCCGUUGGCCAUCCUGGGCUGUGUUUUAUUUUAUUUGCUCCCCUCUCUCUUGUCUUCCUCCCUUUCUGCAUCUACCCCUGUGGGCUUCUGCUUGAAGUCACAGCGCAUAGGCAUACCUUCUGGCUGGAGCCUGGGCUCUGGCCCCUUGUAGCUGUGCCCACCCAGCCCCUGCCCUUCCCCUGGACCAAGGAGACCAGAAGGGGGCAGGCUGUUCCCGAAGUCCAGCAUAGCUGGAGCUUGGGUUGCAGGCAAGGAGAAGACCAGACCGAUUUGCAAGCCACAGAGGCCCUUGCAACCCGUGCCGGGAAGGAGCAUCCAGUUUUGCAAGGAGACAGAGUCAGAGGGCACAGGGACGGCAAUGAGAUGGGCAUGUCCAUCAGAGAUGUGCAAGCGUCCGAUUUCCGCUCAGCCUCUCGCCUGUUAGAAUGAUCGAGCCGAUUGCAGCUGUUUGGUGGCCGGCCGUGGCCCUGAUUUUCCCCUGGGUCUCCAGGAAGCUGUGGAUUUUAUUGUCAUCUCAGGCUUCGUUAUAUGGGGAGGGGAUAUACCCGGGGCCAGAGGGUGCUGUCAGAAAGAUCAGCUCCAGUCUGGCAGGCAUUGUGGAGAAGAUGAAAGAGAGUCCGGUGUGAAUGUAAAGAAUGUUUCUUUUCUUUCCCUUGGUGAAUCCCUGGAAGACCUCACAGUUUACUCUUUGUGCCCUUGGAUAAACUGCUACUAAGUUUCACUUAAGAAAUCUGAUUUUGUGUGUGUGUGUGUGUGUGUGUGUGUGUGUGUGUGUGUGUGUUUUCCUCCUCCACAUACGCAUAGACACACUGCACUCUUGAAGUUUGAUUUCUUUCUUUCUUUUUUUAACUGACUCAUUUGAAAUGUUGGUUUUUCGGCAUGAAAUUCCUCAUACUUCGCAUUACUCGGAUAACUCAGAGGGCUUUUGCAGACAGUGGCAGUGACUUUGAAAAAGCCAGUUCACAGCAUCCAGACUGCCCCCGGCUUCCAGCAGGCUUGGAGGCGUAGCUUUUCUUUCUGUCCAAAUGUUUUGGGACCAAGAGGACAGAGGGUAUUUUACUAACUUUUUUUUUUCUUUUUUUAUGUCUUGCUCUCAAUGGAGUUUUGUUUUGUCGGAGCAAUGCGUCACACUUUGUAUACAGAAAUGUGUGUCAUUGGACCCAUUUAUCUUACUGCAAAGGUUCCUACCUGCUUCAUCGUAGACUAGAAAAUGUUAAAGGGAAUAAAGUGGGGAUUAUUACCAACAUAUAUACAUACACAAGAUGAAAUAAAAUAUGAUACAGCGUUACAGGA
Non-coding RNA from Ictidomys tridecemlineatus (thirteen-lined ground squirrel), 1497 nucleotides. The record is from RefSeq and is a predicted model, not a curated record. Lineage: Eukaryota; Metazoa; Chordata; Mammalia; Rodentia; Sciuridae.